RNAcentral lists this ribosomal RNA (1018 nucleotides) under uncultured bacterium. Its description in RNAcentral is "bacterial SSU rRNA". It matches the Rfam family "Bacterial small subunit ribosomal RNA", at positions 355 to 1375 of the family's 1533-position model. The record is from RNAcentral.
UGAGGAAUAUUGGUCAAUGGACGAGAGUCUGAACCAGCCAAGUCGCGUGAGGGAAGACUGCCCUAUGGGUUGUAAACCUCUUUUAUAAGGGAAGAAUAAGUUCUACGUGUAGAAUGAUGCCUGUACCUUAUGAAUAAGCAUCGGCUAACUCCGUGCCAGCAGCCGCGGUAAUACGGAGGAUGCGAGCGUUAUCCGGAUUUAUUGGGUUUAAAGGGUGCGUAGGCGGUUUAUUAAGUUAGUGGUUAAAUAUUUGAGCUAAACUCAAUUGUGCCAUUAAUACUGGUAAACUGGAGUACAGACGAGGUAGGCGGAAUAAGUUAAGUAGCGGUGAAAUGCAUAGAUAUAACUUAGAACUCCGAUAGCGAAGGCAGCUUACCAGACUGAAACUGACGCUGAUGCACGAGAGCGUGGGUAGCGAACAGGAUUAGAUACCCUGGUAGUCCACGCCGUAAACGAUGCUCACUGGUUCUGUGCGAUAUAUUGUACGGGAUUAAGCGAAAGUAUUAAGUGAGCCACCUGGGGAGUACGUCGGCAACGAUGAAACUCAAAGGAAUUGACGGGGGCCCGCACAAGCGGAGGAACAUGUGGUUUAAUUCGAUGAUACGCGAGGAACCUUACCUGGGUUUAAAUGGGAAAUGUCGUAUUUGGAAACAGAUAUUCUCUUCGGAGCGUUUUUCAAGGUGCUGCAUGGCUGUCGUCAGCUCGUGCCGUGAGGUGUCGGGUUAAGUCCCAUAACGAGCGCAACCCUUACCGUUAGUUGCUAGCAUGUAAUGAUGAGCACUCUAACGGGACUGCCACCGUAAGGUGAGAGGAAGGCGGGGAUGACGUCAAAUCAGCACGGCCCUUACACCCAGGGCUACACACGUGUUACAAUGGCCGGUACAGAGGGCCGCUACCAGGUGACUGGAUGCCAAUCUCAAAAGCCGGUCGUAGUUCGGAUUGGAGUCUGUAACCCGACUCCAUGAAGUUGGAUUCGCUAGUAAUCGCGCAUCAGCCAUGGCGCGGUGAAUACGUUCCC